This is a long non-coding RNA of Nerophis ophidion (straightnose pipefish), 690 nucleotides long. RefSeq lists it as uncharacterized. The transcript is spliced from 4 exons. NCBI's taxonomy places the organism in Eukaryota, Metazoa, Chordata, Actinopteri, Syngnathiformes, Syngnathidae. The record is from RefSeq and is a predicted model, not a curated record.
UCAAAUUGUUUAUACUUUUUCUCAAAUACAAAUAUUUCAAGCUGAUAAGUACUGUGGAGUUGGCAUGUUACUGAUAUUGUUACAUUAGUUCUUUGUUUGAGAAGCUUCAUGUCUGCAUUGAGCCUAAAUUUAACAGUUUUUGAAGGGUUUAGUUCUUUGUUUUAUUUCUGUGUCACUGACCUUUUUCAUUUUUAUGUGUGGAUUUGUUAGGCGCAUCAACACAUGAAAUAGACAUCGUGUCCAAAAGAAGAGCGAGACGUAAUCCUGAGGCUGAAGCCACCGAGUUUAUUUGAUCUGGAUGUGACAAGUCUUGUUUUAAGGCCCAGUGGAUCAAUGAUUGGAAAGACACCAACUGUUGAUGUUCUAUCUCAACAUUCUCCAGAUUCAUGUGAGCGAUAAACCGACUUCAUCCCUCCAACAGACACCAACUGUUGGGGUUCUAUCUCAACAUUCUCCAGAUUCAGAUGUGAGCGAUAAACCGACUUCAUCCCUCCAACAGAAACCAACUGUUGAGGUUCCAUCUCAACAUUCUCCGGAUUCAGAUGUGAGCCAUUAACUGACUUCAUCCCUCCAACAGGUUAUUACAUGUCUAUUUUUACUAUAUCUGCUCUAAAUUUGACCCAACCUAUAUUUUGAAAGACAUUUAUUUAUUUUAAUCUCUCACAGAUCAGUUUAUAUGACAACUUUUUC